Long non-coding RNA from Carcharodon carcharias (great white shark), 564 nucleotides. RefSeq lists it as uncharacterized. NCBI's taxonomy places the organism in Eukaryota, Metazoa, Chordata, Chondrichthyes, Lamniformes, Lamnidae. The transcript has 3 exons. The record is from RefSeq and is a predicted model, not a curated record.
UAUCAAUUUCAGGAUGCCAUCUUCUUCUGAUCAUUUCCUACUUUCUGGAAAACUGCCCUGCUUAAAAUAAGCAAAAUGAUGGACACCAGAUACUUUUCUCCAUUCAGUAAGAGGACAAGCAGCGGAGAAGCUGAUGAGAGAAGAUUCAAGUGGGGUCCUUCUCCCCUCUCUUUCCAACUUACUUCGCAAACUCUGAACCCUGUUUGCUGACUGUGAUCAUCCAGGGACGUCUCUGCUGCAGACAGAAACUUCUUCUUAAAAGAAUUCAACCCAGCACUACCGUCUCCAAGAGAACAGCCAAAUCAGCCGUCUCCAUCUCUAAGUCAGGAGCAUUUGGACCAUAGAAGGAAAGUUGCUUGGCCACUGAUUUCAGCCUGAAGCCCACCGAGUCACCAGACUAUAUAUUCCUUUUAUUUCUCUGGACCCUACAGAGCGAGGAAAGAUAAAUUUCGCAACUCAAUCUAUUGGUGUGCAUGUGAAAGUAUUUUAUUAAUUUACUUAUGGGUUUAAGUUUUUUAAAUUUAUUCCUUCACGGGAUGUGGGCUUUUUUGGCUGGGCCAACAU